Molecule: ribosomal RNA, 250 nt
Filed under: uncultured prokaryote
Description: partial 16S ribosomal RNA
Rfam family: Bacterial small subunit ribosomal RNA
Source: RNAcentral
UACGGAGGAUGCAAGCGUUAUCCGGAUUUAUUGGGUUUAAAGGGUGCGUAGGCGGAAGAUUAAGCGUGAGGUGAAAGGUCCGGGCUCAACCUGGGAACUGCCUCGCGAACUGGUUUUCUGGAAUACCCCUGCCGUGGGAGGAAUGUGUGGUGUAGCGGUGAAAUGCAUAGAGAUCACACAGAACACCGAUUGCGAAGGCAUCUCACGAAGGGGCGAUUGACGCUGAGGCACGAAAGCGUGGGGAUCAAAC